AUAACGUAUUCUAACUCCCUCUCUGUCUAUUCAUAGGUCAUAACGUAUUCUAACCCAGUCUAUUCAUAGGUCAUAAUGUAUUCUAACUCCCUCUCUAUCUAUUCAUAGGUCAUAACGUAUUCUAACUCCCUAUACCAGUCUAUUCAUAGGUCAUAACGUAUGCUAACUCCCUCUACCAGUCUAUUCAUAGGUCAUAACGUAUUCUAACUCCCUCUACCAGUCUAUUCAUAGGUCAUAAUGUAUUCUAACUCCCUCUACCAGUCUAUUCAUAGGUCAAAAUGUAUUCUAACUCCCCUACCAGUCUAUUCAUAGGUCAUAACGUAUUCUAACUCCCUCUACCAGUCUAUUCAUAGGUCAUAACGUAUUCUAACUCCCUCUACCAGUCUAUUCAUAGGUCAUAACAUAUUCUAACUCCCUCUCUGUCUAUUCAUAGGUCAUAACGUAUUCUAACUCCCUCUACCAGUCUAUUCAUAG
This 474-nucleotide long non-coding RNA is filed under the name Salmo salar (Atlantic salmon). RNAcentral describes it as "lncRNA (ENSSSAG00000104620.1)". The record is from RNAcentral. Lineage: Eukaryota; Metazoa; Chordata; Actinopteri; Salmoniformes; Salmonidae.